CUCUUUUUCACAAAAGCUCUCUCUUUAAAAGACCCCUGAAUCUUAAAACGAUCGUUGUCCACUGCUUGACAGUCUGUCUGAAGCCUCUGCUUCUGCUCUCUGUCGGUGUCUAGCUUCAGAGUCUACCGCUGUUGUUGCUACCGAACUCACUACUGCUGCUACUCUUAGUUCUCAGUCAAACACACCACUGCUCUCUGUCUUGUCCAUAGGCUUUUUAAAGAUUUGAAUCCGAGCCCU
Molecule: long non-coding RNA, 237 nt
Filed under: Elaeis guineensis (African oil palm)
Lineage: Eukaryota; Viridiplantae; Streptophyta; Magnoliopsida; Arecales; Arecaceae
Description: long non-coding RNA (EGUI_LNC010828)
Source: RNAcentral